AUGCGCAGCAUGAGAAGCACGAGUCAAAGAAAGACCCAGAGCACGCCCACAAGCACAAGAUAGAGGAGGAGAUUGCUGCAGCAGCUGCAGUUGGGUCUGGUGGGUUUGCCUUCCAUGAGCAUCAUGAGAAGAAAGAGGCAAAGGAAGAAGAGGAAGAGUCUCAUGGAAAGAAGCACCACCAUCUCUUCUAAAUCUACAAAUAAAUACUAUAUUUUAUAUUUAUAUAUUAUGAUUUUACUUAUCUGUUAUGAGUGAGGUUUGAUCUCAGCAAUGUUAUAAUUGUUGAGUGCUUAUGUGUGCUUGUUAUAUGAGUGCUAUGCAUCUAUUUAUUUCUCGUUGUUGAUAAUAAAUAAUAUCGUUUACUUGAUGUUAAUUUCUAUAUUAUUAAUUGGUCUUCUUUUUUCUUCUAAGAUAGAAAAUA
This 421-nucleotide long non-coding RNA is filed under the name Prunus dulcis (almond). Its description in RNAcentral is "sRNA ncRNA". The record is from RNAcentral. Lineage: Eukaryota; Viridiplantae; Streptophyta; Magnoliopsida; Rosales; Rosaceae.